This 468-nucleotide ribosomal RNA is filed under the name uncultured bacterium. Its description in RNAcentral is "partial 16S ribosomal RNA". It matches the Rfam family "Bacterial small subunit ribosomal RNA", at positions 28 to 507 of the family's 1533-position model. The record is from RNAcentral.
GAUGAACGCUGACAGAAUGCUUAACACAUGCAAGUCUACUUGAAUUUGGGUUUUUUAACUUAGAUUUGGGUGGCGGACGGGUGAUUAACGCGUAAAGAACUUGCCUCACAGCUAGGGACAACACUUGGAAACGAAUGCUAAUACCUGAUAUUAUGAUUAUAAGGCAUCUUAGACUUAUGAAAGCUAUAUGCGCUGUGAGAGAGCUUUGCGUCCCAUUAGCUAGUUGGAGAGGUACCGGCUCACCAAGGCGAUGAUGGGUAGCCGGCCUGAGAGGGUGAACGGCCACAAGGGGACUGAGACACGGCCCUUACUCCUACGGGAGGCAGCAGUGGGGAAUAUUGGACAAUGGACCAAGAGUCUGAUCCAGCAAUUCUGUGUGCACGAUGACGUUUUUCGGAAUGUAAAGUGCUUUCAGUUGGGAAGAAAAAAAUGACGGUACCAACAGAAGAAGUGACGGCUAAAUACGUG